RNAcentral lists this ribosomal RNA (460 nucleotides) under uncultured bacterium. Its description in RNAcentral is "partial 16S ribosomal RNA". It matches the Rfam family "Bacterial small subunit ribosomal RNA", at positions 338 to 795 of the family's 1533-position model. The record is from RNAcentral.
CCUACGGGGGGCAGCAGUGAGGAAUAUUGGUCAAUGGACGAGAGUCUGAACCAGCCACGUAGCGUGAAGGAUGACUGCCCUAUGGGUUGUAAACUUCUUUUAUAUGGGAAUAAAACGUUCCACGUGUGGGAUUUUGUAUGUACCAUAUGAAUAAGGAUCGGCUAACUCCGUGCCAGCAGCCGCGGUAAUACGGAGGAUCCGAGCGUUAUCCGGAUUUAUUGGGUUUAAAGGGAGCGUAGGUGGAUUGUUAAGUCAGUUGUGAAAGUUUGCGGAGCAACCGUAAAAUUGCAGUUGAAACUGGCAGUCUUGAGUACAGUAGAGGUGGGCGGAAUUCGUGGUGUAGCGGUGAAAUGCUUAGAGAUCACGAAGAACUCCGAUUGCGAAGGCAGUUCACUGGACUGCAACUGACACUGAGGCUCGAAAGUGUGGGUAUCAAACAGGAUUAGAUACCCGAGUAGUC